Long non-coding RNA from Dreissena polymorpha, 3170 nucleotides. RefSeq lists it as uncharacterized. The transcript has 2 exons. NCBI's taxonomy places the organism in Eukaryota, Metazoa, Mollusca, Bivalvia, Myida, Dreissenidae. The record is from RefSeq and is a predicted model, not a curated record.
UGUCCCCCACUAUAGUAGUGGGGGACAUAUUGUUUUUGCCCUGUCUGUUGGUCUGUCUGUCUGUUUGCGCCUACUUUAACAUUUUGCAAUAACUUUUGCUAUAUUGAAGAUAGCAACUUCAUAUUUGGCAUGCAUGUGUAUCUCAUGAAGCUGCACAUUUUGAGUGGUGAAAGGUCAAGGUCAUCCUUCAAGGUCAGAGGUCAAAUAUAUGUGGCCCAAAUCGCUUAUUUUAUGAAUACUUUUGCAAUAUUGAAGAUAGCAACUUGAUAUUUGGCAUGCAUGUGUAUCUCAUGGAGCUGCACAUUUUGAGUGGUGAAAGGUCAAGGUCAUCCUUCACAAGGUCAAGGUCAUCCUUCACAAGGUCAAGGUCAUAUAUAGGGGACAUUGUGUUUCUCAAGCACAUCUUGUUUUUUCAUGAAACUUGAAACAUGGAUAGAUGGCUAUAUGGACUUUAUGCAAGUCAUUACAUUUUGUUCCUAGGUCAAAACUUCUGAUUCAUAUAGCAACAGCAAAAAAAAAAUUCUGACAAUGGCGGAAUUUCUGACAAUGGUGGAGCCAGUUUGGGACAUAUAUUGCUUGGCAAUAGUCAUGUUACAAUAUGCAGUAACAAGUCAACUGAACAGCCUGAAUGUUGUCAGGUUAAAAUGCUGAUAGAAAGAAAAAUAAUUCACCUAUGAAACAUUAUAAAUUGCAUACUUAUAUGCCUUCUUUAUAAAUUCCAAGAGGCCUUUAUAUUUUUUAUCUAAGUUUAGAAUAGCAUAUAAUACAUAUCAUAUGAAUUGGUGUUCAUCUGAUAUGCUCAUUUGUAUUUUCAGUUUGGCCAUGUCCAGGAGGGAGUGACUAAGUUAUGGGGUGCAGAAGAAGCACAAGCCAUCUUGACAUGAUGAAUCAUCCCCAACAGCGCUUGACGAUGGUUUCCUGCUCGAUGAGGAUGAAUCCAUAACUGAGAACUGCGGAUGAUACAUCUCUCAACACUGCAUUGUAUAAAGACAAAGCAAUUCAGUGUGGUUCGUCAUCGUCAACAACAGAACCAGACUCAGCUGACGUAGGAGACUGUCAAGUUGAGAUCACUGUGCCUAUCAGGGUUGAGUGUUACAUACUGAACGAAGUGAUCCAAAGCACUGUAACUCCAAUAUAGUGCGGUCCGUUAUAACGCUGUGUCCAAUAUAACGCGGGGGGUCCUUGGAUCCCGUUUUUUCUCCAACCUUCCAUACUGAUUCAAAUCCAUGUUAUGCAACUUCAUGUUUUUUCAUAAAUUCAAAGAAGCCGGCGAUCACAGCUUGAUUGCUUUAUCCAUCCGUUUAACUUAUUUUAAUCAAUAAGAGGUUAAACGACACUCGACAGCUUAUUGGUGUUAAUCUGUUGUGUAAUGUCAAUAAAGGCGUGAAAACUCGCGAGUCGGUGUUUAUUACAUGUAUUCCCUAUCAGAGCGGUUCGGUGCGCUAAUUUCAAUAAGGCAAGUGCAAGCGGAAUAAUUAUCAAAUUAAAGUUAUUUAAAACGAUUACCUGUUUAUGUUUUGUAUUUAUCGUGUAUUGUAUUUUAUUGUAUAAACUAUGGCUGUGUAAGUGUGUUAUCGUUUAUUAUAUGCUACACAUGCUUGAUAAAUAAAAAUAUCUUUGUGUGUGUUUAAUGUUUCAGUACGUAUACGAAAAAUAAAUAAAAAAAUCCUGACGAUUUAUUUACAUGCUAACGCAGUGUAAUAGUUAACAGAGAUGCACUUAAAUUUUUGCCCGUUAUCAGAAAGUCCACGGAAAGCACGUUUUUUACAUGCUGCUUAUGACGCAAUAAAACAUUUCUUUGUACAUGUAUCGUAUUGCAUUCAAUCUAAAUUUAAAUUCGCUCGUCCAAUGAAAGCUGUGUCCCAUAAUGCACUGUACUAAUUUUUCUGAAAAAUGGCGUAGGCAUACGAAUUUGUUUACGAAGUUCGUAAACAUAUUUCUUGUCAUAAAUGUUAAACAUUAUUUUUUCGUAAGUGAUGUAAUUAUAUUGGAUUAUCGGAUAAAUGUGCACAUUAGAAAAGCGGUAUGUAUACUGUUAUCGUUCGAUUCGGUUUAUAUGCAUGUAUUUGCAGAUGACAACACAGCAUGACGAUACACAUGACCUACAUUAUAGGCUAUACUUUACCUGUUUUUAUAGCCCCUUAAAUAAAUAAGCUCAAAACUUAUUACGCUGUCCGUUUAUAACGCUGUUGCGUGGCUUGGACCCCGUCAUCCGCGUUAUAUUGGAGUUACAGUGUAUUGUCAAUAUGCACGCUUGGGACCGUGACAUUCUCUGUUUACAUUCAGAUCAAAGCAAUGGCAAGACAUAUUUAAGUAUGAAAGUAUGUUUUAAUGAAGCAGGACACACUACUGUGUAUGUUCAUGGUCAGGAAGUUGCACAGGACCAUUUUUUGUGGGAAACAAAUUUUUAGUGAUUAUCUUUUUGCCCUUUAGCUCACUUGAGCACAAUGUGCUAAUGGUCCGUCAUGCGAUGUGUGUUGUGCGGCGUUAACAUUUGCCUUGUAAACAAUCUAGAGGCCACAUUAAUUGUCCAAACAUCAUGAAAUUUGGUCAGAACAAUUUUCCCAAUGAUAUCUUGGACAAGUUAAACAAUUGUUCCAGUUUAUUGUCCAUCAUCAUGAAACUUGGUCAGAUGAUUUGUCCCAAUGAUAUCUUGGGCAAGUUCAAAAAUGGUUCCUGUUGGUUCAAAAACAUGGGCACCAGGGGGCGGGGCAUUUUUUCAUAUAAGUCUAUAUAUAGCUAUCGAAAAACCUUUUUAACACUCUAGAGGCCACAUUUAUUGUCCGGUCUUCAUGAAACUUGGUCAAACAAUGUGUCACAAUGAUAUCAUGGUUUAAAAACAUGGCCACCAGGGGGGAAAAGCUUUUUCCUAACAUGGCUAUGGUAAAAACAUGUUAACACUCUCAGUCACAUGUGACUAUGAUUUUUCUUCAGCAACAUUACAGGUAAUACCCUGCCUCAUACGAUAAUGGCUCUUAUGCUUACAUGUUUGUUGCCUGCAUAACUGCAGAAUAUUAGCUGUUUUCUUCCAAUAUGUUAUUUGUAAUAUCAACAACUUGCUUAAUAUGUGUAAUGUUUGAUAAAUUGCUUAAUUUUUUUAUGCCAGGUGUACUGAUAUUUGUUCAUGAAUUAUGAAGUUUUGAUGAAAUAUCAUUAAACUGUAAAAACUG